AGAGUUUGAUCAUGGCUCAGGACGAACGCUGGCGGCGUGCNUAAUACAUGCAAGUUGAACGAUGAUUUCUGGUACUUGUAUCAGAAUGAAGAGUAGCGAACGGGUGAGUAACGCGUGGGUAACCUACCUCUUAGCGGGGGACAACUAUUGGAAACGAUAGCUAAUACCGCAUAACAAUAUUAAACACAUGUUUAAUAUUUGAAAGUACCAAUUGGUACACUAGGAGAUGGACCCGCGUUGUAUUAGCUAGUUGGUAGUGUAAUGGACUACCAAGGCGAUGAUACAUAGCCGACCUGAGAGGGUGAUCGGCCACAUUGGGACUGAGACACGGCCCAAACUCCUACGGGAGGCAGCAGUAGGGAAUCUUCGGCAAUGGACGAAAGUCUGACCGAGCAACGCCGCGUGAGUGAAGAAGGUUUUCGGAUCGUAAACUCUGUUGUUAGAGAAGAACGUUGUGUAGAGUGGAAAAUUACACAAGUGACGGUAUCUAACCAGAAAGGGACGGCUAACUACGUGCCAGCAGCCGCGGUAAUACGUAGGUCCCGAGCGUUGUCCGGAUUUAUUGGGCGUAAAGCGAGCGCAGGUGGUUUAAUAAGUCUGAUGUAAAAGGCAGUGGCUCAACCAUUGUGUGCAUUGGAAACUGUUAGACUUGAGUGCAGUAGAGGAGAGUGGAAUUCCAUGUGUAGCGGUGAAAUGCGUAGAUAUAUGGAGGAACACCGGUGGCGAAAGCGGCUCUCUGGACUGUAACUGACACUGAGGCUCGAAAGCGUGGGUAGCAAACAGGAUUAGAUACCCUGGUAGUCCACGCCGUAAACGAUGAGUGCUAGUUGUUUGGGGCU
This 839-nucleotide ribosomal RNA is filed under the name uncultured bacterium. Its description in RNAcentral is "bacterial SSU rRNA". It matches the Rfam family "Bacterial small subunit ribosomal RNA", at positions 8 to 831 of the family's 1533-position model. The record is from RNAcentral.